Molecule: ribosomal RNA, 247 nt
Filed under: uncultured bacterium
Lineage: Bacteria
Description: partial 16S ribosomal RNA
Rfam family: Bacterial small subunit ribosomal RNA
Source: RNAcentral
AUACGUAGGGUGCAAGCGUUAAUCGGAAUUACUGGGCGUAAAGCGUGCGCAGGCGGUGAUGUAAGACAGAUGUGAAAUCCCCGGGCUCAACCUGGGAACUGCCAUUGUGACUGCAAGGCUGGAGUGCGGCAGAGGGGGAUGGAAUUCCGCGUGUAGCAGUGAAAUGCGUAGAUAUGCGGAGGAACACCGAUGGCGAAGGCAAUCCCCUGGGCCUGCACUGACGCUCAUGCACGAAAGCGUGGGGAGC